RNAcentral lists this ribosomal RNA (440 nucleotides) under uncultured bacterium. Its description in RNAcentral is "bacterial SSU rRNA". It matches the Rfam family "Bacterial small subunit ribosomal RNA", at positions 338 to 794 of the family's 1533-position model. The record is from RNAcentral.
CCUACGGGUGGCUGCAGUAACGAAUAUUCCGCAAUGGGCGCAAGCCUGACGGAGCAAUACCGCGUGUAGGAUGAAGCCCCUCGGGGUGUAAACUACUGUCAGGGUCUACCAACUCAAUGAGGAGACCCAGAGGAAGAGACGGCUAACUCUGUGCCAGCAGCCGCGGUAAUACAGAGGUCUCAAGCGUUAAUCGGAAUCACUGGGCUUAAAGGGUGCGCAGGCGGAUUCGUAAGCACUUUGUGAAAUCCCACGGCUCAACCGUGGAAUUGCUUGGUGGACUGCGAAUCUUGAGCCCGACAGGGGUCGUCAGAACGCUAGGUGGAGCGGUGAAAUGCGUAGAUAUCUAGCGGAAUGCCAAAGGUGAAGACAGACGACUGGGUCGGCGCUGACGCUCAGGCACGAAAGCGUGGGGAGCAAACGGGAUUAGAUACCCGUGUAGU